UCCAGCCCAACAGUACCACACUUCCGUCCCUUUUAUACUUCUUUCGUCUUCUUUUUUCCUUUUCAAAACCCUAGAUCUGAAUCUUCUUCUCUUUCUCCUUCUCCUGUACUCUUCUCCGUUCUGAAUCAAAGAUCAAACCAAAUCAUCUCAUCAUGAAUCAUUCCAAGCGUCACCAGGGUUGUUCUCAUCGAUUGUCAUCAAAGUUGAGAUCCGCUUACCUGCGGCUAGAUUUCCACCAUGAACUGGGUGUCAUUUGCUUGAGAUUUGAAUCUUCCGAUUGUUGAAGCCUUUGAAGCCGAUCCUUUUAAAUUUCCAGUUCCCGAGGUAUUAUCUGUUUGUAACAGCAGUGGUUCAACAUCUACAGUGGAUUCAACAUCUAUAGUGGAUUCAACAUCAGGUGUUUGGUUCUCAUCUCUGAUUAUUUGUUUCUUUGUUCUUUGAUUAUUUGUUAGAUGUACAGAUUCUACAGAUUGUAGUUAAGAGCCGCCCAUAAAUGUGACCAGUUAUGGCUUCGGUAAGUAUCGGUAAGUUGUCUUUGAUUUGUUAUUGUUUAUUCAGAUACUUGCAUUGGUGUACCAUAUGAUUACCAGUAGAUUGAUUUUUAUAUGUUUG
Long non-coding RNA from Helianthus annuus (common sunflower), 612 nucleotides. RefSeq lists it as uncharacterized. The record is from RefSeq and is a predicted model, not a curated record. Lineage: Eukaryota; Viridiplantae; Streptophyta; Magnoliopsida; Asterales; Asteraceae. The transcript has 3 exons.